CACUCCUUAUCUCUUUGUCCAUGAGAACAUCACCCAAAACUUGAAAACUUCACAACACAAAACUUAAACAGAAACUCGUGAUAACAUUAGCACAAGAAAACAAACUACCACCUCUUUUGGUACUCUAGAAAACUUGAAUUCUAUCUAUAUUGGUGUUGGGUUACUGUAUUUUCAAUCUUCCAUGGAUAAUACCCCCCAUACUAACCAUAGUUUCAUCAAAACAAGCAACCAACUCAACAAAAACAGAAUCUGUAAAAAACAAACCAGUCUGUAGCAAUUUGUAUACUUCGUAUAUUCUGCUACCUUCAAAAAUCUGAAAAAUUACUACUGCCUGGGAAAAAGGC
RNAcentral lists this long non-coding RNA (344 nucleotides) under Hordeum vulgare. RNAcentral describes it as "long non-coding RNA (HVUL_LNC011604)". Lineage: Eukaryota; Viridiplantae; Streptophyta; Magnoliopsida; Poales; Poaceae. The record is from RNAcentral.